Molecule: long non-coding RNA, 8424 nt
Organism: Parus major (Great Tit)
Lineage: Eukaryota; Metazoa; Chordata; Aves; Passeriformes; Paridae
Exons: 3
Source: RefSeq, a predicted model, not a curated record
CAGCUGGGUGAGGCAAUGAGGGCACUGCAGAGGCUUCAUCAGCAGAGAGGAACGAUUCCAGCGAGAAGAUAGCGAGGCUUCAGUUAACUGUCCCCAGCUCCUCACCAUGCCCACGUAGCCAGGGUGUGUCUGCAGGGCCUGGAAGACACUGAGAUACCAACGGCCUCCCCUGGCUGCUCAGGGAGGGCAGCUUAUCUCCCAGAGCAAAGCCUUUCCUGCUAUCAGCACCCCGAGAGACACCCAACUGUCUUCCAACUGCUCUGAUGGAGUGAUAAGCCCGGAGUGUUUGCUGCUCAGCCAGCCUGGGAAGCUCCAGAGCACCGGGGGCUCAUCUGGGGCAGGGAGAGCUGCAACAGCCUGGUUGUGAGUGCUGGGAGAGUUUGGGAUGUUGGGAGUUCUGAAUUCCUCCUUUUUUCCCAGCUCUCACCCUGUGAGGGGCUGUAGGGUUCACCCCAGCUGAGGGCGAGCAGCGCAGGCAGUGAAAGUUCAGGGAAUUGAAAAAGGAAAGUUCAAAGAAAAACGGUGAAAAUCCAGGAAGAAUUUCUAUGUGGAAAGGGAGGACAGGCACGGGAAGGGGCUGGGCUCCUGGGGAUGUCCAGGGAAGGACUGGAUGUGGCAAUCAGUGCUCUGCUGUGGGUGACAGGGUAAGGAUCAGGCACAGGAUGGUCUCAGAGGGCUUUUCCAACCUGAACAAUUCAGGUGUGAAACGCUGGAAUUGGCUCCACUUGGAGCAGUACCUGUCCCUGAAUUCAGACACCACCUGAGGGUGUCAGCAUUUUGUUUGUGUUAGUUUUGCAGUGGUUUUCCAGGCACAGUGGCUGUGGUUUCCCCCAGAAAUGAAUCCAUGAGGAGGUGACCAGGUAUGAGAGAACCCACGGGAUUUUUAGUGUUGAUAACUAAUAAAAGCCAGAGCACGAGGGGAAAUCAGAUCCUCUGAUUCCAGCAGCUGCUCCAAAGGCACGUGGCUCUGCUGUCUGGGCAUAAAAGUAAUGAAAAAUUGCGGUGUUGAGAUUUUGAUAAGAUUGCAGCAGUUCUCACUGGCAAUUAACGGAGGAGUUUCUGUCUGUGGAAGGAAUCUGUGGCUCUCAGUCGUUCUCCAGACAAGAAGCUGAUGGAGGGUAAUGCCAAGAAGGCUGAAAUGUGUCAAAACUUCAAAGGGUGACGGAUCAGACGAGGAUUAUAAUUGACAGAGGAGAGAAAUCUCAGUGUAGUAAGGAAAAAACAGUGUAGAGAUGCACUAAAAUUAAUCUCUAAAAUCACUUUCAGGUGAUUUGGGUAAGAUUAAAUUCACUCAGCAGGUGCCAGAAGGCCAAGAAGGGAACUUUAACCUAGAGAGGGUAGAAAAUGGUCAAGGAAAAAUGCCAAAGGUUUCUCUUAAAACAGAGGCUGAAGAUCUGAGAGAAUUAUGUGGUGUUAGCAUCUGGGAAAACAGUGGAACAAGGACUCAAAAGUGUUGUUUGUCAGCACCAAAGAGAAUGAGAAACUGCAACGGUAAUUGGGCAAGAUCCAACCAUCCCAAGCAAAGAUAAUUGAGCUAAUUUACAUCUGCAGUGAUGUUCUGAGCGCUGCUCUCCCAGAAGAGGCUGUAAAUACAUAAAGUUUUAUGGCUUUUGAUACUGUUCCACAUGGCCCAUGAGAAAGAGAAAGAAACACAGCAUAAAAUCACUCCAGAGCGUAGCCAAGGCUGCGACUUGCCCUGCACAGAGGACAACUUUGCAUGGUUUCUUUGCAGAACAGAAGGGUAGAAGUGAAGUGUGUCUUUGAGAGGUUAAAGAAUUGGAUCAGGAGUGGUGAAACAGGUCCUGGGCUGGGCAGGAGAAUGUUUCCUUCUCACCUCUGUUGAUGGAGGCUUCUGUAGAUGGCUUGGAGAGGAAGGUCAUUUUAAUUGCCUUGAAAUAAAUAAUUUUCUGCAGACAGAUCCUGAAAAAUCCCUGCUCCCUCAAAUGCUGUGUUUCUCUUGGGCCUUUGCUCUCUGAAAUGGCAGCUCUCCCUUCUGAGAAGGAUUUUAUCCUUUGCCAAAGUCCCAAACAAGAGAUUACAUGAUGUGAUUUCCUGUGUGAGCAGGACUGGCUUUAACACCCCACUGAACCUCUCAGCCUUGGAGGUUGAGGUUUGUUUUCUUGAGUGUUAGUUUGGCACCAAGCCAGCCAAGCCUUUGUGUCCUAACUUUUUAUCUAAACACAAGCACAAAGAAAGGGGAGAAUAAAAGCAUGCAGUGUCUUCCAGAAAGAGAAAACAAACUCUAAUUCUGAGUGUUCCUCCAUCAGCUUGCAGGAAAUGAAGGGACAGAGGUGAGAUGUUUUCUCUAAGCUAUAAUUCCCCCCCCGUGAGACGACAGCUCCCUGCUCACUCCUCUGUCAAGCAGAGCUGGAGGUGGCCAUUUCCCAGCCAGGCACGUCUAACAGCCUCAUCCAUUCUUUCCUUGUGGCUUUUUCUCCUCUUUUCCAGCUCAGAGCACCUGAAGCUCUGAGAAGGCUGUCGGAGCCUUCCUGAGUGGUUUAUUUUUAGCAGCAAGAGCAGGCUCCAGGCCCUGGGGAAUGCCAUGAGUGAUGUAGAAACACUUGAAAAUACCAAACUCCCCCUUUUCCACACAAGUGAGCUCUUAAACCUGCCCAGACUUUCUAAUGGCUUCAUCCAGCCCUUGUGAUCGUAUUUCAUUUCAUGGGUUUUAUUUGAUGUUUCAGUCCCGAGAUGUUUCUCCCCACGUAAAUGUUUACCAGCUCCUUCCACUGCUUCUCUCUGAAGCACCAAAAUCCCAAAAUCUUGCUCUGGAUGAGUCCCAUGGCACGGGGCUGGCUUUGACCCCGUGAAAGGAGAGCCCCUGAUUGUUUUCCCAGUUUUCCCCAGUUCCUGGGGAGCAGCUCCGAGGCUCUGCCGUGCGGGUGUUUCAUCAUUCCAUCGUUUCAGCCGGAGCACAGCAGCCAAGCAGAAUUUCCUUCGAGCUCCAGAUAAGCAGAUCCUGGUUCUCUGCUCAAGCAGCCCCUGGGGUUGCAGCUUUGAGAAAAGCCUCAAGAGGCUGAAGGGGAAGGAAGUGUUGAAUGCUGUGGAUGUAGGACAUGAAGAGGAAAAACAACACCCAGAGGUGCAGCAGCUUUAAACACAUUCCCUGAGCUGCUCAGGGUGGGCAUCCCAAAGCUGCAGCUGCAGGUAAAUGUUUUCUAAGCCCCUGUUUGGUGAGAAUUCCUCAGGAAUCAACAACAAAGAGUCAGCUCAUUGUGCAGGGAGCCUCGAUCAGCCGUGGAGAAAGUGGAUCACAUAUUGAAAAAUCGAGUUGUCUUUGUGAACAACAUGAAUGAUCAGGUUACAAAUCCCUACAAAAAAAACCCCAAACAAUUCCAGGCUCUCUGCUGAGGGCUGCAGAGCGUGGCUCUCCCAGUGCUGAGAUGUGAAACGUGUCAGGGCAGGCACAGCAUUGCUUCUUGGAAAUCACAGCUCUUCUCAGCAUCAGCAGAAUUCAAAAAAUUUAAUCAUUUCCACUUCCAGAGAGCAGAGGGAAACGGCACCCGGCGCUGCACGGGCAUUAUCGGGAAGAUGGAGCGGGAUAAGAAAGUUGUGGUCAAACCCAGCACAAAAUACUUUUAACCAGACUGAUCCUUGGAAGAAAAUCUUAGAAAAAUCGAUAACAAAUCAAGGCCAGCAGUAACAAACCAAGGACUCCUGGAGAAGUAUUCCCUAAUUUCAGACAGAUCCAUCUGUGCUCAAGCAACAGGAACUAAUGGAGGGCAGAGAAACACAGGCAAAGAGUUACACCAGGCUUGUAAAUGCACAGAUUGGAGGAAAAUAAAUGUGAUCCAAGGGUCCAGGGACACAGGACAGGGACUGAGUGUGGAAAAUCCUCAUUUUGGGGCCACCUGCCAGAGCAGCUGCCAGCUGGGCAGAAUAUCCAGGAGGAGACUUGGUCCAAGAGAGACAGAACAGGACAUGGAUGUGAUGAAUCCCAGCUCCUGCCGUGUCCUGGUGCUUCCUGGUGGGAUGGGAAUUCCUCAGCUCCCGGGUGGUGGCUGUGUCACCCCAGCAGAGGUGACAGAGGGACACCCAUGUCCUCAUGCCGGGAAAGGUGUCCACACCUUCCAGGAUCAGCCUCCAGAUGGUGCUCCAGCCAGUUCCCUGGGAUUUGCAAGGAUUCGAUUGUCUCACAGAUGGCUUUUCUGGGCUCAGGGGGAAGGAAGGAGGGUGCAGAGUGCUCAGCCCUUGCAGGGAGCCUUCGGCUGCCUCUUCCUCUUCCUCGCUGGGGGCAGCUCCUCGUUCCCAGCUCAUCCCCUGGGAGCCCCCGAGCUCGGGAAUGAGUCACAAGCGAGGUCCCCAUAGGAAAGGAGAGCUGUGGAUUCAGAACCUUGACGGUUCUGGGUAGGAAAGGUUUAUUUGUCUGGUUUGCUUUAUAAAUAAGCCAGAAAGCAGCAGCAGCUUUGUUUUUAUGCUCUCACACUCGGCGUGUGGAGGAACCUCAUCCAAGCCUUGGUCCAGGCCAGGGAGAGCAGUCCCUGUGUUUGUUUAAUGACUCAGAAUGCAAAACACCCCACUAGAUAAGGCCAAGGAGAGGGGUCAGUGACUCUGUGGGACAGCACUGAGGACCUCCCUGCUCCUUCUGGCCGUGGAGUUUCAUCCAGAGUUCCAUCUCCAUCCCUCCUGAGGAUCCCACGGGGCCUCCUCGUGCUGUGGCUGAACCUUGCUGUGUUGUGUCUUGAGUGAGGAAAAAAGGGUUAAAGAGAAACUGGAGCAAUUUAGUGGAGAAGAGAAAGAUUUGAGGUCAAAGAGCAAAAUGUUCCCGGAGGGAUUUAGGCAGGGGACCUGUGGAGUCACCCAACAGAUGACUCCAGGGAGAAACUGAAACCCUGAGAGGGAAAUUAACCCUGUGCAGGCAAGGUUAAGCCUGGCAUUUUAAAUCUGUCUGCUGAGACGAGGUUGUGGCAAUCCUGUUGUACAGGGAUGAGGGAUCAGGGAUGUUACACCAGGAAAAUCAUUGUUUGCAGAGAUGCCACAGGCAGAGGGGAGCCAGGUCUCCUCCUGACUGCUCCCUUUCCCUGCCCUGGGAACAGGAGAAUCCCUCGUGUUCCCCCUCCAAGGGGUGUGGGGACAGAGAGCAGCAUCCAGGAGGAGCUUUUUUAUCCUGUGGGCUUGUUUGAAUCUCUCCAUCACACAGUGGUGUUCUCCCUUUCACAGGAACAGCUCCAGCCCCUUUUUUCCCAUUACAAACUCCUGCCUUCGACACUUAGGGAAGGGAUUCUGGUUGUUGCCCUUGGAGGAUGAUGCUGAUAAAUGGUGGGGAUGGCUCUGGGUCUGACAGGAGGCUCUGCUGGUGAGCUGAUGAGCCUCAAAACCCAGCCUCAGGCACAGAGAACUCUCAGAAGCUCUGGAGAAGAACAGAAAGUGCUUCAGCACUCUGGGGACGUUCAGCCUCCUUCUCCCAUUGCAAAGGGCCCUUCCCUGUGUGGCUUCCCCUCCCCUCAGCCUGAUUUGCAGAGCACUCAGGAUUCCAACAAAUCUGUAAAACUGGAUAUUUCCCUCACCCAGCCCACUCUUCCUUCAGCCCUUAUCUGCCCUUACCUGUCUCCACUAGGUCGCUUUAAAAGUCCCAGACACUUCCUUCCUUUGUUUGUCUUGGCUGAAAGGGAAAUGUCUUGUGUGUCAAAGGUUUAAUGCAAAUUCCUGUCCAAGCUCUUUACUACCUCUAGCCUUGGUAAAUCAAACUCUUUCUCCCAAGUGGGGAUUUGCACAGUGAAUCAGGUUCUCUCCCCACAUUCUCCCUCUCCUGCCUGCACGUGGGAUUGAGAUGGAGCAGCAAAACAAGGUGAUAAAUCCCCACAGGCUGCUGCAAACUUGGGAUGGAAAAGAAGUUCUGGGUUUCAAAUGUGUUUGCACAGAGCCAGAGUUUCUCAAGGGCUGUCCCAGCUCUCCUCUCUCUUUAGGAAAAUCACCUGGGCUUAGAGACCCACAGGAGGGCAGGGGGCACAGCCUUGCUGAGCUCUGCCUGCACUCUGAGGAUGAAUUUCUCCAUGGAAAAGGUGGUCAGGCAUUAGAAGGGGCUGCCCAGGGAGGUUUGGAGUGCCCAUCCCUGGAUCCAAGGAAGGAUGGGACGCGGCACUCGGUGCUCUGGGCUGGGUGACAAGGUGAGGAUUUGUGCACAGGUUGGACUCGAUGAUCCUGCAGAGCUUUUCCAGCCUCAGGGAUUCCAGGAUUCCGGGAUUCAGCGCUCUUUCCCCAGGACCCAGAGAUGGAGGCUGACAGUUCCUGUCACCCUGGAAGAGUAAAAAUCCUGCUGAAACUCGAGAUGGGAAAUGGUUCAAGCAGAUUUGCCGGUGGGUGAGGUGUCCAGGGCGGUGCUGGCGUGAUGUGGAGUGAUGCUGGAUGUUGGAGAUGCCUUCUCCAUCCUGAGAAGCUCAGAGCUGGGAGAACAGAAAGAGCAGCCUGGAUUUUCCAGCAUAUGGACAGGACCCUGCUCAUCACAAGGGUUUGGAAGAGACCUGAAGGCCCAUCCAGUCCCACGCCCUGCCACGGGCAGGGACACCUCCCACCUUCCCAGGUGAGCUUUCCUGCUCUCUUCACCUUUGAAACACAAAGAUUUCUCAUCUUUUACCCUCUUUCUUCCUCCUGGGAGAUCUUGGUCAGUCAUCUCAAUUAGCCAGGAUCACUUCCUCAGGUCUGGAAACAUCUCUUUGUUAAACAGGGCAGUCUCUUAUCUGCUCCUGGCCUUUGAGCAGCUCCUUUUGGCAGCUCCUGCCUGUCCUUACACCUCACAUGCAAAUGAUGCAAAGGUCCAAGUAGGCAAAAGUUUGUAGCUCAUUACAGGAUCAGGAGUGACCCAGUCCUGGGCACUCAGUCCUGCCUGGCUGGUGGCCAAGCUCCCUCCUCAGCACAUCAUUGCCUUUCCCCUCACAUCUUUCCCUGUGAUCUUUAUUUUACCUUUUUUUUUGUUUGUUUUUUUUUCUCCUGUCUCAGAGUAUCAGGUUCCUUUAUCUGAUAACAGUGCCAUAAAAAUGCCAUGAAGGAGUUUUUUCACCUGUUGGACCUCUGCAGGGCUGGUGUCUCUGGGCCUUUAGAGGUGGGAGAAGGAUGACCACGAUCCUUCCUUUCCACUGCCAUUUUUCCCAUCAGCAUGAAGGGGUAAUUAAUGCUUGGGCUGGAAAUCUCCAGGACAGGUUGAGUGUGAUUCUCCAAUCCAGGAGCAGGGCAGGGAGCCCAGCUCCUCUCCUGGGAGAGUUUCUGUGCUCUCUGCACAAAGCAGGGCAGCCUCAGCGGAAGAGGCGGAGGAUCCUCCCGGGAGGAUCCUGCUGGCUGCUGGAGAUUUCCCUUCCCUCCAACAGAGGCAAAACCUGAAGCCAGUCCCACAUGAGGCCAUCUGCUGCUGUUGGACGGGGUGGGGGUGAGGCAGGAAGAGCAUCACUGUCUCCUCCUGGAGCUGAACCCUCAAGGUCCUUCAGCAAGGUGAAGGCAACACCCUCGGAAAGGUUUUGGAGGUGGAAUUCCAGGUGGAAGGAGCCACCUCCUGACAAGACUCAGGCUUGCAGGACAUCCUCACUCUCCUGCUUUCCUUCUUGCACUCCUCAUCCUCACGAGCUCUUCCAGGUUGUGCUCCCAGUGUGGGAGCAGAGCCCAGAGCUGCUGAGCUGUGGCCCCAGCUCCUGGCAGAUCCAGAAGAUGAUCUGUCCCCAUCCCUCAGCAUUCCUGCAGAUCCAGAGCAGGCACUGCUGGAUGAAGUUGGGCCCAGGAUGUCGCUGUCCUGGGGGGAAGUUCUCAUCUCAGGACCAUCAGAUGAGGAAACAACACUCUUCUGACCCCAAAAUCCCAAAGCUCCUGUCUGGGAAGUUGUGCUUCAGGAGCUGAGCUCUGUCCCUGGCUGUGUCCUGGGACGGGGCUUAGAGCUUCCUGAUUUAAUGGUGAUUUGAGGCUGAUUUAAGGUGUCCCUGCUGUUAAGGGUGGAACAAGAUCAGCUUCAAGGCCCCUUUCAACCCAAACCAUUCCGGAAUUGUGUGUGUGUACGGAUUUAUUUCCCACCUGCUCUCUCAGACUGCCCCUUUUCCCUUCGUUUCUCACUGAACAGCGCGAUUUCCCUUCCCGCUGGGACCGGGAGCGCUGGGUUAAUGCCACCGUCAUCGGGUGUCAGCUCUGCACAAGCACUUAACCCUCUGCGAGCUGGGAAAAAACAAAAGGAAGGAGAGGAAAAAAACCCAAUUCUGUGCCGGUGACACUUUCUCCCGGCCAACAAACAAAAGUUUUAUGAGCUGAACCCUCUGGAUGCUGCAUUCCAGCUUGGUAACAUUUCGGUAACACAUUGCAAACGUUUGACUCAUAGAAACUUGGACGGCUGGAGCCGGGGGAGGGGGAAGAGCGUCACAUUCCCAUUCCCGGGCAGGGUUUGGUUGUCGGAUUUAUUAUUUAAAAAAAAAAAAAAAAAAAAAGAACUGAAACUUCUCUCUGUUUAAUGAA